UUUGCAUAUAUAUUACAUCGUAUCUCGGGGAUGGAACUGGAGCAUAAAUACAAAAUAUAUUCAUGUUUUCUGCUCACCUUCUACACAUAGCCCAAGAGUAAUUGCUGUUACAUAGUUACAAACUAUGACCUUUCAAAUAACACUGGAUAUGAAAGGAUCCACUUGUAGACAUUUUAAAAGUUUUAAGAUUUUUUUUUUUUUUAGGCUCCUGGAUGAUCAGACCAGAAAUGUCUUCCUCAAAGUAUGAAAUUCAAAUCCAAGAAAGGCAAAUGUCUACUGUGUGUUACCUCAUCCAACACUGUAUUCCCACAACACAGUCUUGCAAAUCGGUUUUACCUAAGAAAUUUCUGCAGCUUCAAAGCAUUAUCUGUAUACAUUUCUCAAACAUAGAAUACCAAGGAUCAUGCAAAACAAUGGGAAAUGAUUGUAUGAAGAGGUUUAUGUCAUAAAGUGCUCUGUGUACCAGCUUAGUGGCAACGCAAAUAAAGAAGUAUGAGUACGGACACGUGACUCUUGCAGAAAGUCAUUAGGUAAACAUCCAUCCUAUAUUCCAUUUGCUUUUAUGUGUAGUUUGAACAAGAGCGGGACUUUUUCUCAACAUGUCACAGUCAAUAAUAUCGACCAAAAUAACAGAAACAUGAGGAAGUACAAACCUCCGGGUCCAGUUUAAUCCAGAACGUCUUAGAAUUGUGAUCAUUGUAAAUAGUUAUGAAUAUAACCUUAGAAUUGUAUCUAUGAGUAGACCUCUGCUCUAGGUUGAACAAGGUGUUUGUCACAGUGUCCCCAACCACGAAGGGCCUCCUUUGUUACUUUUCCCUCUAGGUUCUCGAUGUCUUCUAAAAGGCUGAAGAGCAACAUAUAUAAUUUGCUUCGUUUUUUAAAAUGCGUUUUUCUAGCUAUCACACUGAUCCCUCCUCCAGCUGUCUAGAACUACCCGAGCGUUGUGAUCAUUGUUAGCUCUAUGUUGGUGUAAAUAUGAUGUAAAUAGGAAGCAAUGAGCACGGUGAGGUACCAAGCAGUGCUUUCUGCUGAAGCCAUUUUGUGAUAUCUCUUACUGUGCGCAUGCGUCACGCUUGCAACCCUUCCUACGUCCGGUAAGGCGGCGCGACCACCUGCUACCCUGCUCUGCCACAAAAACCCACCCAGGAUGUUCAAUAAAUGUAUCAAUAGUCCCUGCAGGUCUCACAUGCAUCAACUGCCCUCCCUCUGGGUUGAAGUGUGCUAGUCAAAAACCACAGGCCACUCUUGCCACAUGGAAAAAGGAAGAAAACAAAACAAAACAAAAAAGCUAAACAAACCCUCUCGGUUCAGCUCUGGUUCCUAAAAGCCAAACAGCCCAGCAGUGAAAGCCUUUGCCUACAAGCCUGACUUACGGCCUCCAGCUCAAGGUUCCUAUCUCUGUGGUUAAAUUUCUUCAGCUACAGGAUGAGGACCCUUUCAGACCUUAAUUUCUGGUCCUCGAAAUUCUAAAGUUGAGAGAGGAGGAACUCUGACUGCCAAGAAUUGUUCCAGUUCCCUUCAGCAAGAAGCAUGUCUUAAGAGAGAAAAAAAAAAGUGGAGGGAUCUUCUGAGUAAGAUAAAUGCUUAGGCUGUUUGUUAUAGGGCCUCCCCCAUUAAAAUAUAAAUCACUAAA
Molecule: long non-coding RNA, 1633 nt
Organism: Rattus norvegicus (Norway rat)
Lineage: Eukaryota; Metazoa; Chordata; Mammalia; Rodentia; Muridae
Source: RefSeq, a predicted model, not a curated record